AACGAACGCUGGCGGCAGGCCUAACACAUGCCAGUCGAGCGAGACCUUCGGGUCUAGCGGCGGACGGGUGAGUAACGCGUGGGAACGUGCCCUUUUCUGCGGAAUAGCCUCGGGAAACUGAGCGUAAUACCGCAUACGCCCUUUGGGGGAAAGAUUUAUCGGAAAAGGAUCGGCCCGCGUUGGAUUAGGUAGUUGGUGGGGUAAUGGCCUACCAAGCCUACGAUCCAUAGCUGGUUUGAGAGGAUGAUCAGCCACACUGGGACUGAGACACGGCCCAGACUCCUACGGGAGGCAGCAGUGGGGAAUCUUAGACAAUGGGGGCAACCCUGAUCUAGCCAUGCCGCGUGAGUGAUGAAGGCCUUAGGGUUGUAAAGCUCUUUCAGCUGGGAAGAUAAUGACGGUACCAGCAGAAGAAGCCCCGGCUAACUCCGUG
Molecule: ribosomal RNA, 433 nt
Filed under: uncultured bacterium
Lineage: Bacteria
Description: partial 16S ribosomal RNA
Rfam family: Bacterial small subunit ribosomal RNA
Source: RNAcentral